ACAGAGGGAGCGUACUGUCCCGAUGAGGAAUGUCAGAUUACCCUGACCACUGCACCCAAAUGUCCCAGGUGCCUCUCGUUUUUGUAAUGCUGCUCACAUCUGGUUGGCAAAGAGCUUUUGCGUGAUUUAGCUCAGUGGGAUCUGAGGAGUCUUUCUGAGAAAUGACGGGGGACAACAGUGUGAUGGGAAGACUAGCCUCUUUGUGUGGGUCACACUUGGAUGGAGAUCAACUGAUAUCUGGAGGAAAGCCAGAGGGAGUGACAGCUGCCGACAGGCUGUUAAUCGAAGGCUGGUUGAGGAUGGAAAGCUGCGGUGCCGCUGGCCAGCUGUGAACAGCUGGUCUCUCUAAAGGGAAACUUCUGCACCCCCCAGCAACACUCUGGGGCUUUCUAUGGGUGCAGCAGAAAAGACACAGCCUCUUUGUUGAGCUCAUCUACGGGUGUUUGGGGAGACAGUUGUUUAAGAGGGGCCUUGUUAGACCAGGCUCAUUGUCUCACUGUAAAUUAGUUAAAAUAUCUCCUGUGUCACUUAGCACAAGUCUGUUGACACAUUGUCUGACAAGGCCCCAGUUGUUGUUGGCCAAGAAUUAGUGCUCUUUAACAAGCUAUUUUUUAUUUAAAUCUAUCAGCGGGUUGUCUUGUUUAUUGUUGUGACACCUAAUAAAAAACUGAAUAUUUAUGGCUAA
This is a long non-coding RNA of Esox lucius (northern pike), 685 nucleotides long. RefSeq lists it as uncharacterized. NCBI's taxonomy places the organism in Eukaryota, Metazoa, Chordata, Actinopteri, Esociformes, Esocidae. The transcript has 2 exons. The record is from RefSeq and is a predicted model, not a curated record.